UCUGCAACUCGACUCCGUGAAGCUGGAUUCGCUAGUAAUCGCGCAUCAGCCAUGGCGCGGUGAAUACGUUCCCGGGCCUUGUACACACCGCCCGUCAAGCCAUGAGAGCCGGGAGUGCCUGAAGGCCGUGACCGCAAGGAGCGGCCUAAGGUAAAACUGGUGACUGGGGCUAAGUCGUAACAAGGUACC
Molecule: ribosomal RNA, 189 nt
Filed under: uncultured bacterium
Lineage: Bacteria
Description: partial 16S ribosomal RNA
Rfam family: Bacterial small subunit ribosomal RNA
Source: RNAcentral